AGUGAACGCUGGCGGUAGGCCUAACACAUGCAAGUCGAACGGCAGCACAGUAAGAGCUUGCUCUUACGGGUGGCGAGUGGCGGACGGGUGAGGAAUACAUCGGAAUCUACUUUUUCGUGGGGGAUAACGUAGGGAAACUUACUCUAAUACCGCAUACGACCUACGGGUGAAAGCAGGGGAUCUUCUGACCUUGCGCGAUUGAACUAGCCGAUGUCGGAUUAGCUAGUUGGCGGGGUAAGGGCCCACCAAGGCGACGAUCCGUAGCUGGUCUGAGAGGAUGAUAAGCCGCACGGGAACUGAAACAGGGACAAGGCGACUAAGGGAGGCCGCAGUGGGCAAUGUUGGACAAAGGGCGCAAGCCUGACCCAGCCAGCCGGAGUGGUUGAAAAAGGCCUCGGGUUUGUAAAGCCCUUUUUUUGGGAAAGAAAAGCUGUCGGUUAAUACCAAGCUGUUGUGACGUUACCCAAUAAAUAAGCACCGGCUAACUUCGUG
Molecule: ribosomal RNA, 492 nt
Filed under: uncultured bacterium
Lineage: Bacteria
Description: partial 16S ribosomal RNA
Rfam family: Bacterial small subunit ribosomal RNA
Source: RNAcentral